Molecule: RNase P RNA, 404 nt
Filed under: Ferrimonas marina
Lineage: Bacteria; Pseudomonadati; Pseudomonadota; Gammaproteobacteria; Alteromonadales; Ferrimonadaceae
Description: Bacterial RNase P class A
Rfam family: Bacterial RNase P class A
About the family: Ribonuclease P (RNase P) is a ubiquitous endoribonuclease, found in archaea, bacteria and eukarya as well as chloroplasts and mitochondria. Its best characterised activity is the generation of mature 5'-ends of tRNAs by cleaving the 5'-leader elements of precursor-tRNAs. Cellular RNase Ps are ribonucleoproteins.
Source: Rfam by way of RNAcentral
GGAGUUGGCCAGGCAAUCGCUGCCUUGUCGUUGUGCCGGUAGACCUUAGGGUAUAAAGCAGACGGGCAAGGGGGAGGAAAGUCCGGGCUCCAUAGGGCAGGGUGCCAGGUAACACCUGGGGGGCGUGAGCCCACGACCAGUGCAGCAGAGAGCAGACCGCCGAUGGCACUUCCUCGGGAGUGCACAGGUAAGGGUGAAAGGGUGCGGUAAGAGCGCACCGCGCGGCCAGUAAUGGUUCGUGGCACGGUAAACUCCACCCGGAGCAAGACCAAAUAGGCCCCCAUUGGCGUGGCCCGCGUUGGGGGCGGGUAGGUUGCUUGAGCCUGGGAGCGAUCCCAGGCCUAGAGGAAUGAUUGCCGCCGCGCAAGCGGAGACAGGACCCGGCUUAUCGGCCAACUCCAACC